Molecule: RNA transcript, 2115 nt
Organism: Astyanax mexicanus (Mexican tetra)
Lineage: Eukaryota; Metazoa; Chordata; Actinopteri; Characiformes; Acestrorhamphidae
Gene name: zinc finger protein 239-like
Exons: 3
Source: RefSeq, a predicted model, not a curated record
GUCUGUAGCUGGAGCGGAGGAAGAGCAGGAUCAGCUGAACAACAGAAGAAAUUAAAAUAUUUUCCUGAAAUUCAUCACCAACAACCAGGAUAUUUAACUAAGAGCAAAGUUAAACUGCUGAAAGAGGUGAAGCAGAAGCCUUCCUGAAGAAUCUCCAGAACACGCAGAAAUUGUUUGCUACAUUUAAAAGACAAAUGAAGCCAAGUCCCGACAUGGAGAAACAUCAGCACUCUGUCAAGAGUUUUACUAAACAGAGUAAUCUCAAAAAACACCAGCGUAUUCACACAGGAGAAAAAACAUAUUUCUGCUCAGACUGUGGGAAGAGUUUUACUCAACAGAGUGAUCUCAAAAAACACCAGCGCAUUCACACAGGAGAGAAACCGUAUCACUGCUCAGACUGUGGGAAGAGUUUUAAUCAACAGAGUAAUCUCAAAAGUCACCAGCGCAUUCACACAGGAGAGAAACCGUAUUACUGCUCAGACUGUGGGAAGAGUUUUAAUCAACAGAGUAAUCUCAAAAGUCACCAGCGCAUUCACACAGGAGAGAAACCGUAUUACUGCUUAGACUGUGGGAAGAGUUUUACUGUGCAGAGUAAUCUCAAAAGUCACCAGCGCAUUCACACAGGAGAGAAACCGUAUUACUGCUCAGACUGUGGGAAGACUUUUACUCAACAGAGUACUCUCAAAAUCCAUCAGCGCAUUCACACAGGAGAGAAACCGUAUCACUGCUCAGACUGUGGGAAGAGUUUUACUGAACAGAGUGAUCUCAAACGACACCAGCGCAUUCACACAGGAGAGAAACCGUAUUACUGCUCAGACUGUGGGAAGAGUUUUAAUCAACAGAGUCAUUUUAAAAAUCACCAGCGCAUUCACACAGGAGAGAAACCGUAUUACUGUUUCGACUGUGGGAAAAGUUUUACUAAACAGAGUCAUCUCAAAAUACACCAGCGCAUUCACACAAGAGAGAAACCGUAUCACUGCUCAGAGUGUGGGCAGAGUUUUAAUCAACAGAGUCAUUUAAAAAAACACCAGCGCAUUCACACGGGAGAGAAAACUAUCCCAAAUUUGUCCCACGGCAAUUAAAAGUGCAAAUCGUAAAUCUUUCAGACAGAACACCUUAUCCUACACAAAUGUUUUACUUUGUCGCUUGGGAUACGUUCCACCAGAAACAAACAUGAACUGAAUUUAACAAUGGAUUUUACAGGUUCAGCAAAAUUAAUCUUAUCCAGCGAUCAUGUUUAUUGAAUUCCAUGUUAUGUUUUCUUAUAUGUUCGAUAUUCCAGAACAUUCUUCGUUAGACAGAGCUCAGUUUUUAGGGUAGUUAUGGAAGGAGUUUAGUUCUGAAGAAGGGAUAAACUUAGUCUUUAAAAUUAAGAUGUCAUAGUUAGAGUAGAAUUCUUAGCUGGGAACUAAACAUUUAGGACCAAAUCUUCAGAGCUUAUGAUUUUAAUCCCCUUUCUAGUAUAUGCAGAUUUGAUUAUUUCCAUGAAUUUCUAGUAUCUCUGUUUUCACUCUGUGGAAGCCGUCCUCAGUUCCCCAAGCUUAGCAUAGCUUAGCUUAAUACUAUUAACCACUAGGCCCAUCUGCAUGAAAGAAGAAGUGAAAACACCACCUGAGGAACUCCAGAGAGUGCUCCCAAAAGUGAGACCCAGAGCCACAGAGAGACGAGUGCCGGGUACUGCCGUGUGGACCGGAGGAGUAUCCAGACUCUGCAGAGAGGCCAACAAAUUCCUUUCCAGAGGUUAAAUAAAACGCUCCAUCUGUAGUUCCCAUACUGAAUCAACCUCCUCCAGGCUUGUGUAGCGCAGUGAGGUUGUGGGCUCAUUCAUUCCCUCUGAUGGUGUUCUUGUUUGUCUAUGGUUCAGUCGUUCUGAUUAAAAAUCUGUUAGCAUAGAGGGAUAUUUGGUUGUUGUAUUAUUCACGUUUUAUGCUCUCUUAUCUUUUCCUUAUUGAAUAUUAUAUGUUGCUAAAGGUUUUUAAUCUCCAAAAUGUACUAAGAAUAUCCAAAUCAUGUAGUUUCUUAAUUGUUUUUAUCCACUACAAACUAUUAUCUUUGUAUUGCUUCACCUCUAUAUUUACUCAUCUGUUUGUUUUAAUAAACGGCUUUUAGAUUGCA